GUUCCCGUCUGCUGCCUCUCGGAGAGUCCCGGGUGGCCUGCAGGUACUGCGAGAUUUAUAGGGAGGGCGCUGGGACCCCCAAAAGCUGGGAAAUGCUUUGUCUUCUUAUCUUACUGAAGACAUUUUGCCAGAGCAGGGCCUGCAAGUUUCAUUCCAAAAAGUGAUGCUGAGAAGAUAUGAAAGAUGUUGUCUUGAGAAAUUACACUUAAGGAAUGACUGGGAAAUUGUGGCCAUGUGAAGAUGUGCUUGCUUCCCCUUUGCCUUCUGCCAUGAUUGUAAGUUUCCUGAGGCCUCCCCAGAAGCAGAAGCCUGUAAAGCCCACAGAACCGGCCCAGUCGUUGACCAUCGAGCUGCUUUAAAGACCCUGCGGAGGUUCUGUCGCUGCUUGAAUACAGUGCCUGGACUCCCUGCUCCGUGAGGCGAAUUUCCACCAGGUCCAGCUGGGUCAGCCCGAGUUCUGAAUUAAAACAUGCCUCUC
Molecule: small RNA, 478 nt
Filed under: Pongo abelii (Sumatran orangutan)
Lineage: Eukaryota; Metazoa; Chordata; Mammalia; Primates; Hominidae
Description: processed transcript
Source: RNAcentral